UACGAAGGGGGCUAGCGUUGCUCGGAAUGACUGGGCGUAAGGGCGCGUAGGCGGAAUGCUUUGUCGGGCGUGAAAUUCCAGGGCUCAACCUUGGGGCUGCGUUCGAGACGGGUAUUCUUGAGUUCGGAAGAGGGUCGUGGAAUUCCCAGUGUAGAGGUGAAAUUCGUAGAUAUUGGGAAGAACACCGGUGGCGAAGGCGGCGACCUGGUCCGAGACUGACGCUGAGGCGCGAAAGCGUGGGGAGCAACAGG
RNAcentral lists this ribosomal RNA (251 nucleotides) under uncultured bacterium. RNAcentral describes it as "partial 16S ribosomal RNA". It matches the Rfam family "Bacterial small subunit ribosomal RNA", at positions 524 to 775 of the family's 1533-position model. The record is from RNAcentral.